GAAAUGCGAUAAGUAAUGUGAAUUGCAGAAUUCAGGGAAUCAUCGAAUCUUUGAACGCACAUUGCGCCCGCCAGUAUUCUGGCGGGCAUGCCUGUUCGAGCGUCAUUUCAACCAUCAAGCCCCCGGCUUGUGUUGGGGACCUGCGGCUGCCCGCAGGCCCUGAAAAACAGUGGCGGGCUCGCUGUCACACCGAGCGUAGUAGCAUACAUUCUCGCUCAGGGCGUGCUGCGGGUUCCGGCCGUUAAACGACCUUCAUAACCCAAGGUUGACCUCGGAUCAGGUAGGAAGACCCGCUGAACUUAAGC
RNAcentral lists this unclassified non-coding RNA (305 nucleotides) under plant metagenome. RNAcentral describes it as "partial contains 5.8S ribosomal RNA, internal transcribed spacer 2, and large subunit ribosomal RNA". The stretch from base 1 to 105 matches the Rfam family "5.8S ribosomal RNA", at positions 50 to 154 of the family's 154-position model. The record is from RNAcentral.